AGCAGAACCCCGCGCCGCCUGCUCGUGCCGCCCCCUCCUCCGCUGGCCGCCGACUCGCAGAAGGGACGCCCCAGCCGGCUCGGCUCGAGAUUCCCGCUCGAUCACCAGGCUGUUCCGUCCGUCCGUGUCUCCUGGGCCCUAUCCUGCCGGGCCGGCUUCGCAGCACCCAGGGCCAAGCCCUCAAGCGUGAGCCCAGUGGGCAGGGGACUCGCAGCACUUUUCAGAAAAAGCUCUGUUCUUGCGGCUCGGGACCCGACCGAGCUCGGCCCCACAGCGGCCCCGCAGCCGUAGGCCGCGCACCCAGCCUUCAGGGAAAAGCAGCUCCCCCGGGCUCCGCUGUUGGUCGAUCGUGGCUCCUCCCGAGGCGCCCCCUUCCCCCUGGGCUCUUCUGCGGGCUGCCCUUGGCCUCGGCCUGCCGGGCCUUCCAUGACCUCUGACCCCUCUUGGUGCGAACAAGGCCAGACAGACGUUUUGCAGCGGACAUGAAGGAGCUGUGUGCGCGCUGCGUGCCUGUCCUCUCCUCGGCGUGUGGAGCGUGUGUGUUGUGUACCCGUUUGGGUCUGUGUAUGCCCAGCGGGCUUUCUGCAAGUCUGGACCCUGGCUGCAGACCGCGCUGGUCAGGCCCUCACAGAGGAAGGGCCCAAAGCAGGAGCAAGAAAGAGUAAAGCCGUUGGGCUGGCCUGGCCUUCGCUGGAAGCGAGAGGCUGGUUUAGCGCACCCCUGCGCUGCCCCGGAAACUUCCCAGAGGCCCACACCGGGCCAGGGGCCUGCCUGGCCUCAGCCCUCAGUCGGCUCCACCCCAGCCAGGUGGGUAAGGUUGCCUGGACCCCGGUUCUGCUCAGGACCCAGAUAGGGUGCCUGGCAGCUUAUCUGCGACGUGGCGGGGAGGCCAGAGAAUCAGAGAAGUUAUCUGAUGGGAGCCCAGCACGUAGGCUGCUUCUCUACUGGGGCACCCAGAGUGAGAGUCAGCACAGGUGAGCUGAUUGCCAGGUCCCGAGGAGCCCAGCUGGAACCCGUUGUGGGACUCCUCCUGGCUCCACUGCUGGAAUCACUGCCCCAUCCUUCCCCAAAAGGUGGCCCAGGCAGGUUCAGGAAAGCCCUGCCUGCCCCAAGCUGCUCAGGAUCUGCUGAGGAAUUUCAUUUUAUUGGACAAUAGUUUAAGCAGGUGUGAAAGUCCCCUGGGACCGACUCCGUUACCUGAAUCUGAGCAGCCUGGCCAUCACUCUGCAGAUAACGGAGCAUCCUUCUCCCGGCCACAUCCCGACUGGCAUCAGGUGCUGGGGAGGGAGCAGGGUCAUGGUUAUAAGGGCUCACAAUGCCCUUGCACUCGGGACCUGGGCUGUGCCUGAAACGCACAGGGGACAGAAGGAACAGCCAAGCUAGUAGAUGUGACCUUGUGACCCAGAGCUUGGAGGAGCCACCCCUGAGGGUACAUCUGGGGCUAUAAUUUCGUUUGUGUUUCCCUGUGACCCUCCUCCAGGCCCCAGGCCAGGGUUUGCUGUGGCUGGGCUUCUAGGGGGCUUAGUUGAUAGCGCUUUGGGUCCGGUAGUGGGGUCUUGGUUCUAACUUCUCAGGCAGAGGCUGGUGGGGCACUGGGUCAUGGCUGAGGAGAAAUCUGAGUCUGAGGACCAGGGGUAGAGUGAAGAUGGUUCAGGGCUGGGGUCCCCUUACUUAAGCUGGUCCAGUGUUGGCCAGUGGGGAUUGGGGGGCUGUUCUGGCCCCACAUUUAAAAACUAAAUUUCUAACAGUAGCUUAUUGUUUCUGCCACUGCCGAGAGCCAGGUGGGCAGGUGGGGGUUAGCACAGCCAAGAUGCCCUCUUGACCUCCACCUUCAGCACAGACUGGUGACCUUUUUCCAGGAGAGAUGUGUCCUGAGAGACUCUGCAGCCAGGACACCCCCCCCCCCAGGCUGCCUUUUGAGGCCUGAUCCCCAUGCAGGUGAAAACCCCCAUGGUCCUAGAAAGCGUGUAUCCCAGGGCUAGGAGUAUCCUCGAGACCAGCAUCUAGCCCCUGGGUAGGAGCUGCUACCCUGCUAGCUGUGGAACUCUGUGUGUGUGUGUGUGUGUGUGCUGCGUGUUUGAGGUACUGUGUGUGCAGAAGGUGUGUGUGAGACAGGGUGGGGGUGAGCAGACCUGGAGGCCCAGAUCUCAGCCUGGUUCCUUCUUCUCACCGAAACCGUGGGGGCUCCAACUAAUGGCCCCUGCCCUUCCCCCACCCUCCCUAGGGAAGUCUGACCCUCUCUGGCUGUUGUCCCCAGAGCCCACAUGGCAACCCUUUCUCGGGACAGUGGUUAAGGCGGCAGCACCAGGAACUCUCCGCCAGGAGUCUAGCCUCUUGCCCCGCUUUGGGCGAAAACUCAGAGGGGCGGGGUGUAGGGCUGCGGGCCAAGGACCUGGUGCCCUGUGUCACUGCCGUGUGCCCACCAGCCCUUCCUCUGCCACUGGCUGUGGGGUGUGCUGGUGCAGAGGGUGAAGGGAGGGGGCUGCUGUGGACGGACUGGAGGCGUGGGGUCCCACCUGGGCUGCCCUGCUCCACCGGGCCUGUGGAUUGCUUGCAGGAGCAGGUGCAGCCAGACCGCUUAGCCCCUCCCACCCCAGGCUCCUGCAACUCCAAAUCCCUUCUAGGCAGCGCUGGGGGCGGGGGACAAGGUCCCCCGCCUGGAUAGGGGCUGCUGGGGCACCCCCAUGGCCCCUUGAGGGAGGCACAGCCAGCUACAGCUUGCUGGGCCGUGGUGGGCUCGAUUAGCCCCCUGUUUUAUUCAAUUAGGAGGCAAUUAGGGACCCUUGGGGGGCUGUACUGGUAAUUAAGGUGAUGUAUAAUUAGAGUUUCAACAAAAAUUAUCCAGGAUUAAAAAUCUUUUGAAUAAUUUCGUUUAAAAUUUUCAAAUAGCCUUAAAUACAAUUUAUCAGGUUUUGAAUCAAACCCGUGUAUCAAGCGUUGGAAGCUGCAGCUCACGUAGCAAGCGCUGGAGGACAAGGAGUGGCCAGGGCGCCUUCCCUGUGCGGGAAAGAAACUUCCUGAGGAGGAGGGAGCCUGCCGGGCCUCGCCGCAGUGCAGCGCUCGGCUUGGGCGCAGAGUCGGGCUACCUGGCCCGAGGGCCAUUAGGCGUGCAUCGGCGUGAGUCGGGCUAAGGGACUCCGGACCCUGCGGGUGGUUGCCGAGGCUCCUUGGCCCCCAGCGCACAAUGUCGCAGCCGCUACCGCCCAUGGGUUAGCGCUCGCGUCUACAGGGGCGCAGUCGCUGACCCCGACCCAGCCAUAACGGUGCCUUUCUCCUUCUGGUCCCUGGUCCAGUCCCAAGGGUCCCCGCCUCUUGGCUUCCGGGGUGGAAAAGGACAGUGUCUGCGCUUGACUCCCCAGACCCUUGCCCCCGGUGCCGGCUCGCCCUUCACUGCCACUGUGCUGACCUGCAUAGAGAGUGCGGGGGUGCAGCCAGGGUUCAAGUCAAGCCAUGAGGGUCAGGAUCCUCCAGGGAAACUGUGAGGGGGAGGGAGAGGGCUUUCCAGGGCUGUGCUGGGCCCUGCGCCCUUCUGAGCAUGAUCCCUGAGCCCAGGUUCAGCCUGGUGGAGUUUGGGCUGCAGCUUGAGCCCCAGUCCUGCUGGGCAGCCUUAGGAAGCUAAGCAGGGUUCUCCGUAGGGGAGCCCCAGGUACAUUACCCCACUCUCCCCUCUUUGAUUCUGGGAGGCACGGAGUAGCUGGCACCUCUUAUAGGUAUAAAAACCCCAGGUACAGAGUGCAGCUCUCAAAGCCGCACAGCAAGUUCAGGGUUCAGGAAGUCAGUUAUGUGAAGACUCCCAGGUCUUCUUGUGCAGCACCCCCAACCCACAGGGCACUGCAGAUGGUGGCUAAUUCCAUAGGGGUUUUAAUUUUUUUCUCUCUCGUGUGUCCAGAUCUAAGCAUUUUUUCCAAGGCUGGUGCUCGGUUUGGAACAGGUCUGUUUAAAAGGCAAGACAGACAUCCAUGUGCCACUGCUUGUGAACGUGGCGGGAGUGAGCUCUUAUCUCUGCUGCCAGCAGGUUGGAUUCUUUAUUUGCUCAGGGCUGGACUUUCUGCUCCAGGGAGCUGUGACCAAGCUUCUCCCCACCGGGCUAUAGGUGCCCUCUCACAAGGGCAGCUGUAAAGUAGCCAAAGUGUUGACCAGGGAGAGUAUUCUCUGCACCCCUCUGCCCCCAUCAUCUUCCUCCUUCCCAGAGCAAGCCCAGGACUCUGUGCCUGGCCCAGGAGGUGUAGGAACCUGUCUGCUCCCCCCACCCAACCUGGAGGGAAGUAAUCAACCUUCCCCUGCUCCAGGCAAUCAGAGAGACUUGGAGUGGCUGCUGCUUCUAACGCCAGCUGUUGCUGCUGCUGUUGCUGCUGCUGCUGCUGCUACCACUGCGGCUGCAUGGCCUGAGCUGCAGGGCCCAAGUGAGGUAGCUGGUCCAGCUUGGAAUCAGCCGUUGUUCCUCAAGUCUGUGACCUCAUGCGUCCACAGUGUCCAUUGUAGGCUGAGUUCCCCCAGCUCUAAUGCCCCUGAGCAAGGAAAGGCUGGCCUCUUCCUGCUCUGACUGUGCUCUUCUCCGGGUUUCAACACCGAAUCCUCACCGCCUGGAGGUGCCCUGGCCGGCCCUCGGGCCAGCCUCUCCUGACUCGGAGGAACAAUGCCGGAGCUGGAAGACAGGAGAGCCGACCACUGGAGAUACAUAUUUAUUUAAUAGUUAACAUUUUGUGCAAAAAAGGAGGGAAGUCGGAUUCUGGUGGGGGCUUUGCUUAUUUUAUAUCCACUAUAACUAUUUCUGUCCAUGAAAAUUGGCUUAAUUAUAUCAAUGGAAUGUUUCUUUUUCAAUUCUGUAUGCAAUUAGUCCAUCUUGCCGGCUGCAAUUUAUUUUAAUAAAAAAAUAAACCAGUGGUGUGUUCAGUUCCUCG
This 4901-nucleotide long non-coding RNA is filed under the name Marmota monax (woodchuck). Lineage: Eukaryota; Metazoa; Chordata; Mammalia; Rodentia; Sciuridae. The record is from RNAcentral.